GGUCAGAUGGCCGAGCGGUCUAAGGCGCCAGACUAAGGUGUCAAAUCGUGAAGGAUGCCAACUAAUCUGGUCUCUUCGGGGGCGUGAGUUCAAAUCUCACUCUGAUCA
Non-coding RNA from Mycena floridula, 108 nucleotides. Lineage: Eukaryota; Fungi; Basidiomycota; Agaricomycetes; Agaricales; Mycenaceae. The record is from the annotation of a GenBank genome assembly.